GGGGAUAUAGCUCAGUAGCAUAAGCACCUGCCUGGCAAGUACAAGGUCAUGAGUUUGAUUCCCAGUAUUCCCC
Molecule: transfer RNA, 73 nt
Filed under: Cavia porcellus (domestic guinea pig)
Lineage: Eukaryota; Metazoa; Chordata; Mammalia; Rodentia; Caviidae
Rfam family: tRNA
About the family: Transfer RNA (tRNA) molecules are approximately 80 nucleotides in length. Their secondary structure includes four short double-helical elements and three loops (D, anti-codon, and T loops). Further hydrogen bonds mediate the characteristic L-shaped molecular structure. tRNAs have two regions of fundamental functional importance: the anti-codon, which is responsible for specific mRNA codon recognition, and the 3' end, to which the tRNAs corresponding amino acid is attached (by aminoacyl-tRNA synthetases). tRNAs cope with the degeneracy of the genetic code in two manners: having more than one tRNA (with a specific anti-codon) for a particular amino acid; and 'wobble' base-pairing, i.e. permitting non-standard base-pairing at the 3rd anti-codon position.
Source: Rfam by way of RNAcentral